This 510-nucleotide ribosomal RNA is filed under the name uncultured organism. Its description in RNAcentral is "bacterial SSU rRNA". It matches the Rfam family "Bacterial small subunit ribosomal RNA", at positions 416 to 917 of the family's 1533-position model. The record is from RNAcentral.
CUUCGGGUCGUAAAAUUCUGUUGUCAGAGAAGAACGUGCGUGAGAGUAACUGUUCACGUAUUGACGGUAUCUGACCAGAAAGCCACGGCUAACUACGUGCCAGCAGCCGCGGUAAUACGUAGGUGGCAAGCGUUGUCCGGAUUUAUUGGGCGUAAAGGGAACGCAGGCGGUCUUUUAAGUCUGAUGUGAAAGCCUUCGGCUUAACCGAAGUAGUGCAUUGGAAACUGGAAGACUUGAGUGCAGAAGAGGAGAGUGGAACUCCAUGUGUAGCGGUGAAAUGCGUAGAUAUAUGGAAGAACACCAGUGGCGAAAGCGGCUCUCUGGUCUGUAACUGACGCUGAGGUUCGAAAGCGUGGGUAGCAAACAGGAUUAGAUACCCUGGUAGUUCACGCCGUAAACGAUGAGUGCUAAGUGUUGGAGGGUUUCCGCCCUUCAGUGCUGCAGCUAACGCAUUAAGCACUCCGCCUGGGGAGUACGGUCGCAAGACUGCAACUCAAAGGAAUUGACGGA